GGAGGGUUCGCAUAGUGGACGAGUGCAGCCGCCUUGAAAGCGGCCAGGUCAGCGAUGGCCUCGUGGGUUCGAAUCCCACACCCUCCGCUA
This 90-nucleotide transfer RNA is filed under the name Nonomuraea mesophila. Its description in RNAcentral is "Nonomuraea sp. 6K102 tRNA-Ser". It matches the Rfam family "tRNA". From Rfam's summary of the family: Transfer RNA (tRNA) molecules are approximately 80 nucleotides in length. Their secondary structure includes four short double-helical elements and three loops (D, anti-codon, and T loops). Further hydrogen bonds mediate the characteristic L-shaped molecular structure. tRNAs have two regions of fundamental functional importance: the anti-codon, which is responsible for specific mRNA codon recognition, and the 3' end, to which the tRNAs corresponding amino acid is attached (by aminoacyl-tRNA synthetases). tRNAs cope with the degeneracy of the genetic code in two manners: having more than one tRNA (with a specific anti-codon) for a particular amino acid; and 'wobble' base-pairing, i.e. permitting non-standard base-pairing at the 3rd anti-codon position. Lineage: Bacteria; Bacillati; Actinomycetota; Actinomycetes; Streptosporangiales; Streptosporangiaceae. The record is from RNAcentral.